UGGGGAAUAUUGCACAAUGGGCGCAAGCCUGAUGCAGCCAUGCCGCGUGUGUGAAGAAGGCCUUCGGGUUGUAAAGCACUUUCAGCGGGGAGGAAGGCGUUAAGGUUAAUAACCUUGGCGAUUGACGUUACCCGCAGAAGAAGCACCGGCUAACUCCGUGCCAGCAGCCGCGGUAAUACGGAGGGUGCAAGCGUUAAUCGGAAUUACUGGGCGUAAAGCGCACGCAGGCGGUCUGUCAAGUCGGAUGUGAAAUCCCCGGGCUCAACCUGGGAACUGCAUUCGAAACUGGCAGGCUAGAGUCUUGUAGAGGGGGGUAGAAUUCCAGGUGUAGCGGUGAAAUGCGUAGAGAUCUGGAGGAAUACCGGUGGCGAAGGCGGCCCCCUGGACAAAGACUGACGCUCAGGUGCGAAAGAGUGGGGAGCAAACAGG
This 429-nucleotide ribosomal RNA is filed under the name Chloroflexota bacterium. Its description in RNAcentral is "Chloroflexi bacterium partial 16S ribosomal RNA". It matches the Rfam family "Bacterial small subunit ribosomal RNA", at positions 355 to 776 of the family's 1533-position model. The record is from RNAcentral. Lineage: Bacteria; Bacillati; Chloroflexota.